GCAGUCGUGCGCGCCUUCGGGUGAGCGGCGGACGGGUGAGUAACACGUGGGAAUGUGCCCUUCUGUUGAGGAUAGCCCCGGGAAACUGGGAGUAAUACUCGAUACGCCCUUAGGGGGAAGGAAGGAUCAGCCCGCGUCUGAUUAGGUAGUUGGUGGGGUAAUGGCCUACCAAGCCUACGAUCAGUAGCUGGUUUUAGAGGAUGAUCAGCCACACUGGGACUGAGACACGGCCCAGACUCCUACGGGAGGCAGCAGUGAGGAAUCUUAGACAAUGGGCGCAAGCCUGAUCUAGCCAUGCCGCGUGAGUGAUGAAGGCCUUAGGGUCGUAAAGCUCUUUCGCCAGGGAUGAUAAUGACAGUACCUGGUAAAGAAACCCCGGCUAACUCCGUGCCAGCAGCCGCGGUAAUACGGAGGGGGUUAGCGUUGUUCGGAAUUACUGGGCGUAAAGCGCGCGUAGGCGGACUGGAAAGUUGGGGGUGAAAUCCCAGGGCUCAACCCUGGAACUGCCUCCAAAACUAUCAGUCUAGAGUUCGAGAGAGGUGAGUGGAAUUCCGAGUGUAGAGGUGAAAUUCGUAGAUAUUCGGAGGAACACCAGUGGCGAAGGCGGCUCACUGGCUCGAUACUGACGCUGAGGUGCGAAAGUGUGGGGAGCAAACAGGGAUUAGAUACCCUGGUAGUCCACACCGUAAACGAUGAAUGCCAGUCGUCGGGUUG
Molecule: ribosomal RNA, 714 nt
Filed under: Sagittula stellata
Lineage: Bacteria; Pseudomonadati; Pseudomonadota; Alphaproteobacteria; Rhodobacterales; Roseobacteraceae
Description: bacterial SSU rRNA
Rfam family: Bacterial small subunit ribosomal RNA
Source: RNAcentral